Molecule: non-coding RNA, 72 nt
Organism: Mus musculus (house mouse)
Lineage: Eukaryota; Metazoa; Chordata; Mammalia; Rodentia; Muridae
Source: Rfam
AGCAGAGUGGCACAAUGGAAGCGUGCUGGUCCCAUAACCCAGAGGUCAAUGGAUUGAAACCAUCCUCUGCUU